This 504-nucleotide ribosomal RNA is filed under the name uncultured bacterium. RNAcentral's name for it is "partial 16S ribosomal RNA". It matches the Rfam family "Bacterial small subunit ribosomal RNA", at positions 28 to 523 of the family's 1533-position model. The record is from RNAcentral.
GAUGAACGCUAGCGGCAGGCCUAAUACAUGCAAGUCGAACGGGAUCUGAGGGUAGCUUGCUACCCGAUUUGAGAGUGGCGCACGGGUGCGUAACGCGUGAGCAACCUACCCAUAUCAGGGGGAUAGCCCGAAGAAAUUCGGAUUAACACCGCAUAAUAAUACGCUAACACAUGUUAAUGUAUUUAAAUAUUUAUAGGAUAUGGAUGGGCUCGCGUGACAUUAGCUAGUUGGUAAGGUAACGGCUCACCAAGGCGACGAUGUCUAGGGGCUCUGAGAGGGGAAACCUACACACUGGUACUGAGACACGGACCAGACUCCUACGGGAGGCAGCAGUAAAGAAUAUUGGUCAAUGGGCGCAAGCCUGAACCAGCCAUUCCGCGUGCAGGAUGACUGCCCUAUGGGUUGUAAACUGCUUUUGUUAGGGAAUAAACCUACUUAUGUAUAAGUAGCUGAAUGUACCUAAAGAAUAAGGAUCGGCUAACUCCGUGCCAGCCGCCGCAGUAA